This 483-nucleotide ribosomal RNA is filed under the name uncultured bacterium. RNAcentral's name for it is "bacterial SSU rRNA". It matches the Rfam family "Bacterial small subunit ribosomal RNA", at positions 28 to 526 of the family's 1533-position model. The record is from RNAcentral.
GACGAACGCUGGCGGCGUGCCUAACACAUGCAAGUCGAGCGAGGGAAGCUUCUUCGGAAGUGGAACUAGCGGCGGACGGGUGAGUAACACGUGGGCAACCUGCCUCGUAGAGGGGAAUAGCCUUUCGAAAGGAAGAUUAAUACCCCAUAAGAUUGUAGAUUCGCAUGAAUUAGCAAUUAAAGGAGCAAUCCGCUACGAGAUGGGCCCGCGUCGCAUUAGCUAGUUGGUAAGGUAAUGGCUUACCAAGGCGACGAUGCGUAGCCGACCUGAGAGGGUGAUCGGCCACAUUGGGACUGAGACACGGCCCAGACUCCUACGGGAGGCAGCAGUGGGGAAUAUUGCACAAUGGGGGAAACCCUGAUGCAGCAACGCCGCGUGAGUGAUGACGGUCUUCGGAUUGUAAAGCUCUGUCUUCAGGGACGAUAAUGACGGUACCUGAGGAGGAAGCCACGGCUAACUACGUGCCAGCCGCCGCCGUAACAC